AUGGACGGCGCGGCAAGGGCCACCUUGUUGGUGUUGUUCUUGCCGUUCCUCAUUCUCACUGUUGCUCAAAAUGUUACCCAGAGUAGAGCGGGUAUACUCGAUGUCGGAGUGAUCCUCCAUCUGAAGUCUUUGGUGGGCAAAAUGGCACGUACCAGCAUGUUGAUGGCUAUGGAAGAUUUCUAUGCAGUCCACAGGAAUUAUACAACAAAGCUAGUUCUCCACAUCAGGGAUUCCAACGGAGACAAUAUGCGAGCUGCAUCACAAGCUGUUGACCUGCUGCAAAAUUACUAUGUACGGGCCAUCAUUGGUCCACAAAAAUCUUCAGAGGCUACUUUUGUGUCUGAUAUUGGGAACAACAGUCAAGUCCCAGUUAUCUCCUUCACAGCAACGAAUCCCACCCUUUCAUCUGCCGAUGUGCCAUAUUUUUUUGCGUGCAACUCUAAGUGA
RNAcentral lists this ribosomal RNA (447 nucleotides) under Triticum aestivum (bread wheat). RNAcentral describes it as "partial small subunit ribosomal RNA". The record is from RNAcentral. Lineage: Eukaryota; Viridiplantae; Streptophyta; Magnoliopsida; Poales; Poaceae.